This 254-nucleotide ribosomal RNA is filed under the name uncultured bacterium. RNAcentral describes it as "partial 16S ribosomal RNA". It matches the Rfam family "Bacterial small subunit ribosomal RNA", at positions 524 to 776 of the family's 1533-position model. The record is from RNAcentral.
UACGUAGGGUGCGAGCGUUGUCCGGAAUUAUUGGGCGUAAAGAGCUCGUAGGCGGUUUGUCGCGUCUGCCGUGAAAGUCCGGGGCUCAACUCCGGAUCUGCGGUGGGUACGGGCAGACUAGAGUGAUGUAGGGGAGACUGGAAUUCCUGGUGUAGCGGUGAAAUGCGCAGAUAUCAGGAGGAACACCGAUGGCGAAGGCAGGUCUCUGGGCAUUAACUGACGCUGAGGAGCGAAAAGCAUGGGGAGCGAACAGG